UGUCCUUCCCUGACAAAUGUGCAGCUUUGU
This 30-nucleotide non-coding RNA is filed under the name Rattus norvegicus (Norway rat). Lineage: Eukaryota; Metazoa; Chordata; Mammalia; Rodentia; Muridae. The record is from RNAcentral.